ACUACUAAUCCUCUUUCCCUCCUGGGCACAAGCAUAUGUGUCAGUAACAAGACAGCAAGAACAAAAGCAGUGAGCAAGAGAAGCAGUUCAAAUGGGCUCACUUGCCUUCAUCUUCUGUUCUGCCAUCAGCUCUUCUUUUUCAUUGUGAUGGCGUGCCUGUUGAUACUGAGGAAGAUGGCCACAGGAUUUCUUUCCAUGAAGCCAAUGUAUACAUUAGCAGCCACCACUCUGGGUGUUGAUCCUUCAAGGUACCAUCAUAGAAUAUGUUUCAUGUCAAUACAGGCGAUGAAGUCAUGUUUCUCUCAAGCUAUAUACUCAUUGACUUUGGGAAGGAUCAGUUCCUGUAAGCUACAAUCAAUUAUUUGAUAAGAUCAACUUCAUAAUUGCUUUUUUCAAGCUUUCUCUUGCCACGUUCUGCUUCUUGAAUUGACAGGGGCAUUUAUGCAUGUUCUUGCUAUAUGAUGCCCAGUUUCCUAAAGCUUGCAUUCAUUAAGCGAGUUAGAAAGUUAUCAUCUCUUAAGAAAAUGGAGAUGUACAGUAGCCUUCAAACUGAGGGAUGAUUUCACUAUGAGGUUUUUCCCAGAACCUCUUUUUUUAUUCCCAAAACCUUUCAAUAUCCCAAAGCAAUCAUGAUCUGAUUUAUUCCCUACGAGGGUGCCUAAUGCUACUGCAACAAAUUACUUAAAAUUAAGGGAUGCUGGAGCAUAUGUUGAGGCUUUGGAAGGACACUACAAGACUGUUAACAAACAAAUGAAUUCAAUUCAUCGUAUGAUCCAGUGUAUGAUCUAGUGUUGAUCAAACUCUCUUUGUUUUUGUUUUCCGGGUGUUAUUAAACUUUAUUUGUUCAUUUAUAUUGCAGGCAUGUUGUAUUUUUCAAUUUAUGCCACAAUAUUUAUAUCUUUUUUAGUGA
This is a long non-coding RNA of Populus nigra (black poplar), 910 nucleotides long. RefSeq lists it as uncharacterized. The record is from RefSeq and is a predicted model, not a curated record. NCBI's taxonomy places the organism in Eukaryota, Viridiplantae, Streptophyta, Magnoliopsida, Malpighiales, Salicaceae. The transcript is spliced from 2 exons.